GGCCCUUUAGCUCAGUUGGUUAGAGCAGUCGACUCAUAAUCGAUUUGUCGCUGGUUCAAGUCCAGCUAGGGACACCA
This 77-nucleotide transfer RNA is filed under the name Hafnia alvei. RNAcentral describes it as "tRNA-Ile". It matches the Rfam family "tRNA". From Rfam's summary of the family: Transfer RNA (tRNA) molecules are approximately 80 nucleotides in length. RNAcentral also lists the same sequence under 1 other name. The record is from RNAcentral. Lineage: Bacteria; Pseudomonadati; Pseudomonadota; Gammaproteobacteria; Enterobacterales; Hafniaceae.